This 464-nucleotide ribosomal RNA is filed under the name uncultured bacterium. Its description in RNAcentral is "partial 16S ribosomal RNA". It matches the Rfam family "Bacterial small subunit ribosomal RNA", at positions 28 to 507 of the family's 1533-position model. The record is from RNAcentral.
GACGAACGCUGGCGGCGUGCUUAACACAUGCAAGUCGAACGGUAAGGCCCGUUCGGGUGUCCCCGAGUUGCGAACGGGGGAGUAACACGUGGGUGGUCUGCGCUUCACUUUGGGAUAAGCGUGGGAAACUGGGUCUAAUACCGGAUAGGACUACUCGAUCCAUGUUGUGUGGUGGAAAGCUUUUGCGGCGUGGGAUGGGACCGCGGCCUAUCAGCUUGUUGGUUGGGUGAGGGCCUAGCAAGGCGACGAGGGGUAGCCGGCCUGGGGGGAGGUCCGGCCACGCUGGGACUGAGAUACGGCACAGCCUAGUACGGGAGGCAGCGGUGGGGAAUAUUGCACAAUGGGCGCAAGCCUGGUGCAGCGAAGCCGCGUGGGGGAUGACGGGCUUCGGGUUGUAAACCAAUUUCAGCACAGACGAAGCGUAAGUGACGGUAUGUGCAGAAGAAGCACCGGCCAACUACGUG